This 340-nucleotide ribosomal RNA is filed under the name uncultured bacterium. RNAcentral's name for it is "bacterial SSU rRNA". It matches the Rfam family "Bacterial small subunit ribosomal RNA", at positions 8 to 356 of the family's 1533-position model. The record is from RNAcentral.
AGAGUUUGAUCCUGGCUCAGAACGAACGUUGGCGGCGUGGAUUAGGCAUGCAAGUCGUGGGAAUGCCCGCAAGGGUGGAACCGGCGUAAGGGGCAGUAAGGCAUGGGUAACCUACCCUGGGAUUUGGCAUAGCCCGUAGAGAUACGGGAUAAUUCCAAGCGAUGUAGUGUGCGGGCCUCCGCGUGCUACCAAAGCUCCGGCGUCCUGGGAGGGGCCCAUGUGGUAUUAGCUAGUUGGUGGGGUAACGGCCUACCAAGGCGAAGAUGCCUAGCGGGUGUGAGAGCAUGACCCGCGCCAUUGGCACUGAGAACUGGCCAAACACCUACGGGUGGCUGCAGUC